Molecule: unclassified non-coding RNA, 518 nt
Filed under: uncultured Glomeromycotina
Lineage: Eukaryota; Fungi; Glomeromycota
Description: SSU rRNA
Rfam family: Eukaryotic small subunit ribosomal RNA
Source: RNAcentral
CAGCCGCGUAAUUCCAGCUCCAAUAGCGUAUAUUAAAGUUGUUGCAGUUAAAAAGCUCGUAGUUGAAUUUCGGGAUCAAUAUGUUGGUCGUGCCUUGGUACGUACUGGCGUCAUUGGUUUCUACCUUCUGAAGAACCUCGAUGUCAUUAAUUUGGUGUCUUGGGGAAUCAGGACUGUUACUUUGAAAAAAUUAGAGUGUUUAAAGCAAGCUCACGCUUGAAUACAUUAGCAUGGAAUAAUGAAAUAGGACGUUUGAUUCUAUUUUGUUGGUUUCUAGGAUCGACGUAAUGAUUAAUAGGGAUAGUUGGGGGCAUUAGUAUUCAAUUGUCAGAGGUGAAAUUCUUGGAUUUAUUGAAGACUAACUACUGCGAAAGCAUUUGCCAAGGAUGUUUUCAUUAAUCAAGAACGAAAGUUAGGGGAUCGAAGACGAUCAGAUACCGUCGUAGUCUUAACCAUAAACUAUGCCGACUAGGGAUCGGAUGAUGUUAAUUUUUUAAUGACUCAUUCGGCGCCUUACG